Long non-coding RNA from Panicum virgatum (switchgrass), 1271 nucleotides. RefSeq lists it as uncharacterized. The transcript is spliced from 8 exons. NCBI's taxonomy places the organism in Eukaryota, Viridiplantae, Streptophyta, Magnoliopsida, Poales, Poaceae. The record is from RefSeq and is a predicted model, not a curated record.
AAUCAACGGCUCGCUGCAAUCCUCAACUCAAUCCAACGGCCACAAUGUCUACGCUUCAACGCGUUGAAGCCGCCUGCGCCCCGCAUCGCCCCGCCCCUCGGACGCCCGCGCCCCGCGUUCGAGUCCAAUUCCAAUUCCGCGCGGAAUCUGGCGUCGGUUCUUCUUCCUCCCGGCGGACGCCUUCCAGUUCCGGCGCCCCGCCUCCGGCUCCCCCGUAGCCCGCUCCUGCGCCGCCUCCGGCCGUGGCCGCCACCGGGACCACCGCAGCCGCCUCCUGCGCCGCCUCCGGGAGGGCCGCGGUGCCUCCUGCGCCAACUGCGGGCCACGCCUCCACCGAAACCCCCUCGCGAUCUGCUCCUGCUGCUCGUGUGCUCCGAUCUGAUCCGUUUCCCGAUCCGUCUGUGCGUGCAGGGAGCAGGCAAGUAGGCCGUGCUGAACAGCCUCAUCGGUCACCCGGUCCAGCCGACAGGGAAGAACGGGGCAACGCGGGCGCCGAUAGUGGUGGACCUGCAGAGGGAGCUGGGUCUCAGCAUCAAGUCCAUCGUGCUCAAGAUCGACAGCAAAUCGCAGCAGGUGUCCGCAAGUGCCCUCCGGCAUUCACUGCAGGACAGACUCAGCAAGGGGGCGUCUGGUUGAUCAGGGAGGGUCCGCGCUGAUGAGAUUUACCUCAAGCUGCAGACAAGUACACAUCUGUCUGCUACUAACGCCCGCGCCGCCACCGGAGGACUCCCUUUCUGAACCUUGCCGUUGUCCUGGUUACUUGGCGAGCAGGGGUUAGGAGUUCUUGUUGGCAUGACAUUACCCUUCCCUGGUGCAGCAAAAGAAUACACUUGAGAAGCAGACCAACUACAGACCUGCUGGAACCAUCUCAGCGUGACCUUCAGAUAUAAGAGAGAAUGGUGGAAAUGGUAUCCAUAUAGAAAACCUGACCGAUGAGUAUGUGUCAACAGUAGAAGAUGUGAAUCAGAUCUUGAUGAAGGUUUCAUUUUGGGUGGCUGGUUGGUGUAGUCUGAAGGAUCUGCAAGACGUCAGUUACCUCUACAGCAGCACAUAAGCAUGGAAAGCUCUUUUUUAUAUCCAGGUCAUGAAUUUCUUGCAACAGCUGAACAUGUCUAGGAUCUUUAAAAUGUGUAAGCAGAUCAUUGGCAUCUGCUUUAGUUUGCUCAUUGUUGCAAUUCAGUUUUGGUUGAUGUCACUAUGCUUAUUUCUGUUCUUACAAGUUGGCCGUAGCGUUAGCACCGGCCACUUACUAGUUACACCUAACGCAUCCA